GGGGGGGGCGGGGGGGGGGGGUGGCGCAUGGGAGGGGGGGGGAUGGGGGGAGGGUGCUCCUGGAUUCAGCGGCGGACGGGUGAGUCAUGCGUAGGAAUCUGGCUGGUAGGGGGGGCGAACGUCGGGAAACGGGGGGUAAUACCGCAUACGUCCUGAGGGAGAAGGUGGGGGAUCUUCGGACCUCACGCUAUCAGAUGAGCCUAGGUCGGAUUAGCUAGUGGGUGGGGUCAAGGCCUACCAAGGCGACGAUCCGUGACUGGUCUGAGAGGAUGAUCAGUCACACUGGAACUGAGACACGGUCCAGACUCCUACGGGAGGCAGCAGUGGGGAAUAUUGGACAAUGGGCGAAAGCCUGAUCCAGCCAUGCCGCGUGUGUGAAGAAGGUCUUCGGAUUGUAAAGCACUUUAAGUUGGGAGGAAGGGCAGUAAGUUAAUACCUUGCUGUUUUGACGUUACCAACAGAAUAAGCACCGGCUAACUUCGUG
RNAcentral lists this ribosomal RNA (484 nucleotides) under uncultured bacterium. Its description in RNAcentral is "partial 16S ribosomal RNA". It matches the Rfam family "Bacterial small subunit ribosomal RNA", at positions 35 to 507 of the family's 1533-position model. The record is from RNAcentral.